GUGGGAAUGGCGGUGGUGGAGGUUAUGGUAUUGGGGGAGAACAUGGUGGUGGUUAUGGUGGAGGUGCAGGAGGUGGAGCUGGUGGUGGUUAUGGUGGAGAACAUGGCAUAGGAUAUGGAGGAGGUGGUGGAAGUGGUGGAGGUGGUGGAGCUGGGUAUGGCGCAGGAGGAGCUCAAGGAGGUGGAUAUGGCACUGGAGGAGGUGCUGGUGGUGGUGCAGGAGGAGAGCAUGGUAGUGGAUACGGUGGUGGUCAAGGAGGUGGAGCUGGUGGAGGCUAUAGUGGAGAGCAUGGAGGAGGAUAUGCUGGUGGUGAAGGAGGUGGAGCUGGAGCUGGAGGAGGUUAUGGUGGUGGGGGAGAGCAUGGUGCUUCUGGCUACGGAGGUGGGGAAGGAGGUGGAGCCGGAGGAGGUUAUGGUGGCGGGGGAGAGCAUGGUGCUUCUGGC
Molecule: long non-coding RNA, 443 nt
Filed under: Trifolium pratense (red clover)
Lineage: Eukaryota; Viridiplantae; Streptophyta; Magnoliopsida; Fabales; Fabaceae
Description: long non-coding RNA (TPRA_LNC000836)
Source: RNAcentral